This 982-nucleotide long non-coding RNA is filed under the name Equus caballus (horse). RNAcentral describes it as "lncRNA (ENSECAG00000058887.1)". Lineage: Eukaryota; Metazoa; Chordata; Mammalia; Perissodactyla; Equidae. The record is from RNAcentral.
AGAAAACAGGCUGCAAUGUGGGGAAGGAUCGGGAGACUGCCUGUCCUACUCCUCUCCAGCCUGAAGGGACCACAACCAGCAGCCCAGGUGCCCCUGGUACCAAGGAAGAGACUGCCCUGCGGCUGAAGGUUUUUCCAGAUCACCCGGGCCAUGAGGGCAGGGCAGGGAGAGCUUCCAGGGCCUCUGACUGGAUGGGGGUGCCCUUUGAAGUCCGUGGUCGCCGGGAGGACCUGGCCAGGCUUAGGCCGCAUACACAGGCUCACUGCGGGGCGGGGGAGGCCUGCGCCCCUGCUGUACUCGAGGUACAAAUGAAUGGAGCUCCUGGCCAGAAUUUUGACAGUUUCUUCUCUCAUGUGUUAGGAAAACAGAGAGCCAGCAAAGGAAAUCUUACAAACUUUGAUGAAGGAAGUAACCACAAUGGGGAGGUUCGUGAGGCAAGGAACUGAGGGUGGCCUUCAGCUAACAACCAGCUAGAUACUGAGGUUCUCAAUCCAUCAGGCUAUGUGGAACUGAAUCUGCCAAGAACCACACGAGCUCGAAAGCAGACCCGUCUCCACUCAAGCUUUCAGAUGAGACCCCAGCCCUGGCCACCACCCUGAUUGCGGCCUUGUGAAAGAUCCUGAAACAGAGGAUCCAGCUCAUUGUGCCUGGAUUCUUGAUCCACAGAAGCUGUGAGAUAAAAAACGUGUGUUGCUUUGACCCACUAAUUUUGCGGCAAUUUGUUACACGGAUGCCAUUUUCCUCCGAUCAACUGAGAUGACCUGCUCUCCAUUCCUCAAACACACCAGGCUCCCAAUCGUAUAUUCUCUGCUGACUUCACCAUGAGGUCUCUGCAGUCAUGCAUCCUUUAGCCCGUCCUUACCAGGAAAGGGACCUAUUGCUUUUCCACAGGGGUGGGUCUCUUGGGAGCUCUGCCCAAGGCCAUUAUGAUUAGAGUUGCCAUGAAAACUUAAAAGACUCAUAUUUUAAAAUGAACCAGCUU